RNAcentral lists this non-coding RNA (382 nucleotides) under Felis catus (domestic cat). Its description in RNAcentral is "Eukaryotic small subunit ribosomal RNA". It matches the Rfam family "Eukaryotic small subunit ribosomal RNA", at positions 606 to 963 of the family's 1831-position model. The record is from Rfam by way of RNAcentral. Lineage: Eukaryota; Metazoa; Chordata; Mammalia; Carnivora; Felidae.
AAAGUUGCUGUGGUUAAAGCUCAUACCCGGAUCUCGGCAGCAGAUAGGCUGUUGCGGUGAGGCAGAGGGGAGCCACUGCCCGCCCAGCCCCUGCCUCUUGGUGCCCCCUCGGUGCUCUUAGUCGACUGUCCCUGGGGCUCAAAGCAUUUACUGCAAAAAAAUAGAGUAUUCAAAGCAGACCAGAGCCACCUGGAUACCACAGCUAGAAAUAGUGGUGUAGAACUGUAGUUCUCUUGUGUUGGCUUUCAGAACUGAGACCAUGAUUAAGAAGGAUGGUGGAGGCCAUUGGUAACGCGCUGCUAAGGGGGAAAUUCUUGGACUGGCACAAGGAAAAAAAAAAGUUUCUUAUUAGAAAAGAACAGGAAGCACCUGGACGGCUCCG